RNAcentral lists this unclassified non-coding RNA (352 nucleotides) under soil metagenome. RNAcentral describes it as "partial contains 5.8S ribosomal RNA, internal transcribed spacer 2, and large subunit ribosomal RNA". The stretch from base 1 to 120 matches the Rfam family "5.8S ribosomal RNA", at positions 35 to 154 of the family's 154-position model. The record is from RNAcentral.
GAUGAAGAACGUAGCGAAAUGCGAUAAGUAAUGUGAAUUGCAGAAUUCAGUGAAUCAUCGAAUCUUUGAACGCACAUUGCGCCCGCCAGUAUUCUGGCGGGCAUGCCUGUUCGAGCGUCAUUACAACCCUCAGGCCCCCGGGCCUGGCGUUGGGGAUCGGCGGAGCCCCCCGUGGGCACACGCCGUCCCCCAAAUGCAGUGGCGGUCCCGCCGCAGCUUCCAUCGCGUAGUAGCUAACACCUCGCGACUGGAGAGCGGCGCGGCCACGCCGUAAAACACCCAACUCUUCUGAAGUUGUCCUCGAAUCAGGUAGGAAUACCCGCUGAACUUAAGCAUAUCAAUAAGCGGAGGA